GAUGAACGCUGGCGGCGUGCCUAAUACAUGCAAGUCGAGCGAACGGACGAGAAGCUUGCUUCUCUGAUGUUAGCGGCGGACGGGUGAGUAACACGUGGAUAACCUACCUAUAAGACUGGGAUAACUUCGGGAAACCGGAGCUAAUACCGGAUAAUAUUUUGAACCGCAUGGUUCAAAAGUGAAAGACGGUCUUGCUGUCACUUAUAGAUGGAUCCGCGCUGCAUUAGCUAGUUGGUAAGGUAACGGCUUACCAAGGCAACGAUGCAUAGCCGACCUGAGAGGGUGAUCGGCCACACUGGAACUGAGACACGGUCCAGACUCCUACGGGAGGCAGCAGUAGGGAAUCUUCCGCAAUGGGCGAAAGCCUGACGGAGCAACGCCGCGUGAGUGAUGAAGGUCUUCGGAUCGUAAAACUCUGUUAUUAGGGAAGAACAUAUGUGUAAGUAACUGUGCACAUCUUGACGGUACCUAAUCAGAAAGCCACGGCUAACUACGUGCCAGCAGCCGCGGUAAUACGUAGGUGGCAAGCGUUAUCCGGAAUUAUUGGGCGUAAAGCGCGCGUAGGCGGUUUUUUAAGUCUGAUGUGAAAGCCCACGGCUCAACCGUGGAGGGUCAUUGGAAACUGGAAAACUUGGGUGCAGAAGAGGAAAGUGGAAUUCCAUGUGUAGCGGUGAAAUGCGCAGAGAUAUGGAGGAACACCAGUGGCGAAGGCGACUUUCUGGUCUGUAACUGACGCUGAUGUGCGAAAGCGUGGGGAUCAAACAGGAUUAGAUACCCUGGUAGUCCACGCCGUAAACGAUGAGUGCUAAGUGUUAGGGGGUUUCCGCCCCUUAGUGCUGCAGCUAACGCAUUAAGCACUCCGCCUGGGGAGUACGACCGCAAGGUUGAAACUCAAAGGAAUUGACGGGGACCCGCACAAGCGGUGGAGCAUGUGGUUUAAUUCGAAGCAACGCGAAGAACCUUACCAAAUCUUGACAUCCUUUGACAACUCUAGAGAUAGAGCUUUCCCCUUCGGGGGACAAAGUGACAGGUGGUGCAUGGUUGUCGUCAGCUCGUGUCGUGAGAUGUUGGGUUAAGUCCCGCAACGAGCGCAACCCUUAAGCUUAGUUGCCAUCAUUAAGUUGGGCACUCUAAGUUGACUGCCGGUGACAAACCGGAGGAAGGUGGGGAUGACGUCAAAUCAUCAUGCCCCUUAUGAUUUGGGCUACACACGUGCUACAAUGGACAAUACAAAGGGCAGCGAAACCGCGAGGUCAAGCAAAUCCCAUAAAGUUGUUCUCAGUUCGGAUUGUAGUCUGCAACUCGACUACAUGAAGCUGGAAUCGCUAGUAAUCGUAGAUCAGCAUGCUACGGUGAAUACGUUCCCGGGUCU
Molecule: ribosomal RNA, 1372 nt
Filed under: uncultured bacterium
Lineage: Bacteria
Description: bacterial SSU rRNA
Rfam family: Bacterial small subunit ribosomal RNA
Source: RNAcentral